GUUUGAGAAACCCUGCUGUAAGUCAUGACAACCUGGAGAAGGGAGUGUCGUCCCAGCACCAAGUACUUAUAUAAAAUCAGUAGUUUUUCCAAACAGAAGCACAGAGCACCAAAUGGGCCAUAUGAGAAAAUGAAUCUUUUAGAUUUAGUUCUUCUUUGGCGAUCAUAUGCAGUCCCUUUCUAGGGAGAUGACCCAAGAAGUACUUAGAUGGGGUCUCUGUCACCCACACUAAAGUGCAGCCUCGAAGUCCUAGACGCAAGUCAUCAUCCCACUUCAGCCUCAAAACUAGCUGGGACUACAGUCACAUGCUACCACAUUUGGGUCAAAGUUGCCAUCUUGUACUAAAAAGAAUUGGAGAUAUAAGUCCAAACAAAAUUCCACAAAUCCAAAGAAUCACUAUAGUUGAUCAAAAUCAAAGAAGAAUUCAAAGUCAAAUGUUAAUCAAAUUACAGAAAAAUGAAAACCACACAGAAUAGUGAGAGUUGUAUCACUGAAGAGGGGAAGAUCUAAUUUUAGUAGAAAGAGAAUGGAAAAGGAAAGCAACAAGGAGCAAGUGACAAUGGGGAAGAAAAGCAGGACGUGGUAGCAUCAUGAUCAAGGGAAGCGGGGAGAAGAAAAGCAAUAAGAAAGAAGGUGCAAUUUGAGUGCUGAGGCACGUGACAGCAGCUCAGACUGCCAACGUGCUAGACUCCUCUGUAAGAGAAAACUGAAGCACAAAAAUCUUAGGUAAAUUGUCCCCAGCCACACAGGUAGACCAGGAUUUUUAACUAACUCUAAGACCACCCAGAGGAGCAGCUGGAAGAAAAAAAGUCAGUAUACCAUUACACAGAUUAACAGUAUAUAUGCAGAAAUCAAUUCUGUAAAUUGCAAAUCUGACCAUCUCAACUCCCUCUUAAAGUUCUCACUGUACCUCCUUUGUCUUCAAGACAAAACCCCAACUGUAUUGUGUAGCAUCCAAGGCCAUCUAAAAUGUCAUGGAUGAUUUCUGCUCUUAUCUUUUUCCUCCUUCCACCUCACACUUCAGGUGCUCUGAAUUAGUUGCAGUACAGGUACCAAACCAUCUCUUGCUAUGGUACCUAUGUUUCUCGUUGUUGUUUUUUGUUUGUUUGUUUUUCUUUCCGGAAUAUCCUUCUUUCUGUUUAAAUUACCAAUUUCUACUAAUCCUUGAAAAAGUGUCACCCACUCUAGAAAUCUUCCUCUGUAUCUCCUCCCCAGGUUGCAUUAAAAUAUCCCUUCUCUGGGUUCUUAGAAGACUCCACUUUCUUCUCUUACAGGCCUUAUUAGAUUGGAAUGACAGCCUUUUUCUAUAUUCAUUCUAGAAUUGCCUCAGACAGCAAGUUUGUCAUUUGUUUCUUGUAUCCUCAGGACUCAAAAAAGUGCCUGACUGAAGAUAUUCAGAGUGUGGCCUACCACCCAGUUUUAUGAAACUGAUGAAAUAAGUGCAUUUAGACAAUAAUUACAUAAAGGAAUUAAGUAUCUCCCUAGACUUAAGGAGGAUAGGAAAAGAGAUUUAAAAAUGCAUAUCCCAGAAGAUAUGCAAAAUCUCAGGCCCCACCUCAGGGUUCACUACCACCUUUAAAAUGUUUCGUAUUAAUCAUUAAACAUACAACAUAAAAUAAGAGUAAUAAAAUCAUUUGUCUCCUGUUUAAAAAACGUUCCUUAAGUGGUUAUUCUUUGCAAAGCAUUACAAAAAGCACUUUCCCAAACAAUUCAUUCAAUGUCUUGUAUAUUUAGAAAUACACCAUAUGCUUCAAGACCGUGAACAUCAUGAAGGUAGACAUUUUAUUCUUUUUAUUCCCAAUGCCUACUACUGGACCUACCUAGAGGAGGAGCUUAAUUACUAUACGUUUAAAUGAGUGAUUGAAUAAACAAGGGAAAAUAAAAUUCAAAAUAAUUCUAUUGAUUGUCAUUCUGAGUGUACACUUUCAGAAACAGAAUGAAGGCUUUCCAUAUUGUCACCAUUUUCCAUUUCCAAUGCUCAGUUUGCUAGUAAAAAUAUGAAAUGUUAUUUAAAAUAAUGUGAUGAGAAAGCUGAUUUAUCAAAACAGAAUUUACUUUUAAUGUAAAAUACAGCAUUUUAGAGUUGGUUGUAUCUAAAAUUACACUAAAAAUAAAGCCUAAGUAAAUUCAAAUUA
This 2135-nucleotide long non-coding RNA is filed under the name Homo sapiens (human). RNAcentral's name for it is "HSALNT0366994". The record is from RNAcentral. Lineage: Eukaryota; Metazoa; Chordata; Mammalia; Primates; Hominidae.